Parelaphostrongylus tenuis is the source of this 74-nucleotide non-coding RNA. NCBI's taxonomy places the organism in Eukaryota, Metazoa, Nematoda, Chromadorea, Rhabditida, Metastrongylidae. The record is from the annotation of a GenBank genome assembly.
GCCUGUGUGGUGUAGUGGUAGGUGCACGCGUCCCCGGUAUGGAUGAAACACGGGCUCGAUUCCCGCUUGAGGCC